This 76-nucleotide transfer RNA is filed under the name Paramuricea clavata. It matches the Rfam family "tRNA". From Rfam's summary of the family: Transfer RNA (tRNA) molecules are approximately 80 nucleotides in length. Their secondary structure includes four short double-helical elements and three loops (D, anti-codon, and T loops). Further hydrogen bonds mediate the characteristic L-shaped molecular structure. tRNAs have two regions of fundamental functional importance: the anti-codon, which is responsible for specific mRNA codon recognition, and the 3' end, to which the tRNAs corresponding amino acid is attached (by aminoacyl-tRNA synthetases). tRNAs cope with the degeneracy of the genetic code in two manners: having more than one tRNA (with a specific anti-codon) for a particular amino acid; and 'wobble' base-pairing, i.e. permitting non-standard base-pairing at the 3rd anti-codon position. Lineage: Eukaryota; Metazoa; Cnidaria; Anthozoa; Malacalcyonacea; Plexauridae. The record is from Rfam by way of RNAcentral.
GACCACGUAGCUCAUCAGUUGGUAGAGCAUUGGGCUAGUAUUCCAAAGGUCGUAGGUUCGAUUCCCAUCGUGGUCA